GGCCGACUAGCUCAGUUGGUUAGAGCGUCGUGCUAAUAACGCGAAGGUCUUGGGUUCGAUCCCCACGUCGGCCA
Molecule: non-coding RNA, 74 nt
Organism: Lentinula aff. detonsa
Lineage: Eukaryota; Fungi; Basidiomycota; Agaricomycetes; Agaricales; Omphalotaceae
Source: the annotation of a GenBank genome assembly